GAUGAACGCUGGCGGCGUGCCUAAUACAUGCAAGUCGAGCGAACAGACGAGGAGCUUGCUCCUCUGACGUUAGCGGCGGACGGGUGAGUAACACGUGGAUAACCUACCUAUAAGACUGGGAUAACUUCGGGAAACCGGAGCUAAUACCGGAUAAUAUAUUGAACCGCAUGGUUCAAUAGUGAAAGACGGUUUUGCUGUCACUUAUAGAUGGAUCCGCGCCGCAUUAGCUAGUUGGUAAGGUAACGGCUUACCAAGGCAACGAUGCGUAGCCGACCUGAGAGGGUGAUCGGCCACACUGGAACUGAGACACGGUCCAGACUACUACGGGGGGCAGCAGUAGGGAAUCUUCCGCAAUGGGCGAAAGCCUGACGGAGCAACGCCGCGUGAGUGAUGAAGGUCUUCGGAUCGUAAAACUCUGUUAUUAGGGAAGAACAAAUGUGUAAGUAACUAUGCACGUCUUGACGGUACCUAAUCAGAAAGCCACGGCUAACUACGUG
This 497-nucleotide ribosomal RNA is filed under the name uncultured bacterium. RNAcentral's name for it is "partial 16S ribosomal RNA". It matches the Rfam family "Bacterial small subunit ribosomal RNA", at positions 28 to 507 of the family's 1533-position model. The record is from RNAcentral.